RNAcentral lists this ribosomal RNA (421 nucleotides) under uncultured bacterium. Its description in RNAcentral is "partial 16S ribosomal RNA". It matches the Rfam family "Bacterial small subunit ribosomal RNA", at positions 360 to 773 of the family's 1533-position model. The record is from RNAcentral.
AAUAUUGCGCAAUGGAGGGAACGCUGACGCAGCGACGCCGCGUGUGUGAAGAAGGUCCUCGGUUUGUAAAGCACUUUAAGUUGGGAGGAAGGGCUUUAGGUUAAUACACUGAAGUUUUGACGUUACCAACAGAAUAAGCACCGGACAACUCCGUGCUAGCAGCCGCGGUAAUCAUGAGGGUGCAAGCGUUAAUCGGAAUGACUGGGCGGAAAGCGCGCGUAGGUGGUUCAGUAAGAUGGGUGUGAAAGCCCCGGGCUUAACCUGGGAACUGCUUUCAUAACUGCUGAGCUAGAGUACGGUAGAGGGUAGUGGAAUUUCCUGUGUAGCGGUGAAAUGCGUAGAUAUAGGAAGGAACACCAGUGGCGAAGGCGACUACCUGGACUGAUACUGACACUGAGGUGCGAAAGCGUGGGUAGCGAAC